Molecule: ribosomal RNA, 201 nt
Filed under: Bacillus sp. (in: firmicutes)
Lineage: Bacteria; Bacillati; Bacillota; Bacilli; Caryophanales; Bacillaceae
Also listed under: 1 other name
Description: Bacillus sp. (in: Bacteria) partial 16S ribosomal RNA
Rfam family: Bacterial small subunit ribosomal RNA
Source: RNAcentral
UUCAUGGAGAGUUUGAUCCUGGCUCAGGACGAACGCUGGCGGCGUGCCUAAUACAUGCAAGUCGAGCGAACCGGCGGGAGCUUGCUCCCUUAGGUUAGCGGCGGACGGGUGAGUAACACGUGGGUAACCUGCCUGUAAGACUGGGAUAACUCCGGGAAACCGGGGCUAAUACCGGAUGCUUGAUUGAACCGCAUGGUUCAA